RNAcentral lists this ribosomal RNA (561 nucleotides) under Kluyvera ascorbata. Its description in RNAcentral is "partial 23S ribosomal RNA". It matches the Rfam family "Bacterial large subunit ribosomal RNA", at positions 1271 to 1814 of the family's 2925-position model. Lineage: Bacteria; Pseudomonadati; Pseudomonadota; Gammaproteobacteria; Enterobacterales; Enterobacteriaceae. The record is from RNAcentral.
UGCUGGAGGUAUCAGAAGUGCGAAUGCUGACAUAAGUAACGAUAAUGCGGGUGAAAAACCCGCACGCCGGAAGACCAAGGGUUCCUGUCCAACGUUAAUCGGGGCAGGGUGAGUCGACCCCUAAGGCGAGGCCGAAAGGCGUAGUCGAUGGGAAACAGGUUAAUAUUCCUGUACUUGGUGUUACUGCGAAGGGGGGACGGAGAAGGCUAUGUUAGCCGGGCGACGGUUGUCCCGGUUUAAGCAUGUAGGCGGGAAGUUUAGGUAAAUCCGGACUUCUGUUAACGCUGAGGUGUGAUGACGAGGCACUACGGUGCUGAAGUAACAAAUGCCCUGCUUCCAGGAAAAGCCUCUAAGCAUCAGGUAACAUCAAAUCGUACCCCAAACCGACACAGGUGGUCAGGUAGAGAAUACCAAGGCGCUUGAGAGAACUCGGGUGAAGGAACUAGGCAAAAUGGUGCCGUAACUUCGGGAGAAGGCACGCUGAUAUGUAGGUGAAGUGAUUUACUCAUGGAGCUGAAAUCAGUCGAAGAUACCAGCUGGCUGCAACUGUUUAUUAAAAAC